RNAcentral lists this ribosomal RNA (316 nucleotides) under uncultured Lactobacillus sp. Its description in RNAcentral is "bacterial SSU rRNA". It matches the Rfam family "Bacterial small subunit ribosomal RNA", at positions 218 to 525 of the family's 1533-position model. The record is from RNAcentral. Lineage: Bacteria; Bacillati; Bacillota; Bacilli; Lactobacillales; Lactobacillaceae.
UAUGGGACUGGCCCCGCGGUGCAUUAGCUAGUUGGUAAGGUAAAGGCUUACCAAGGCGAUGAUGCAUAGCCGAGUUGAAGAGACUGAUCGGCCACAUUGGGACUGAGACACGGCCCAAACUCCUACGGGAGGCAGCAGUAGGGAAUCUUCCACAAUGGACGCAAGUCUGAUGGAGCAACGCCGCGUGAGUGAAGAAGGUUUUCGGAUCGUAAAGCUCUGUUGUUGGUGAAGAAGGAUAGAGGUAGUAACUGGCCUUUAUUUGACGGUAAUCAACCAGAAAGUCACGGCUAACUACGUGCCAGCAGCCGCGGUAAAU